RNAcentral lists this ribosomal RNA (500 nucleotides) under uncultured Glomeromycotina. RNAcentral's name for it is "partial small subunit ribosomal RNA". It matches the Rfam family "Eukaryotic small subunit ribosomal RNA", at positions 591 to 1092 of the family's 1831-position model. Lineage: Eukaryota; Fungi; Glomeromycota. The record is from RNAcentral.
CCAAUAGCGUAUAUUAAAGUUGUUGCAGUUAAAAAGCUCGUAGUUGAAUUUCGGGGUUAGUAGGUUGGUAAUGCCUCUGGUAUGUACUGGUCUCACUGCUUCCUCCUUCCUUAUGAACCGUAAUGCCAUUAAUUUGGUGUUGCGGGGAAUUUGGACUGUUACUUUGAAAAAAUUAGAGUGUUUAAAGCAAGCUAACGAUUGAAUACAUUAGCAUGGAAUAAUGAAAUAGGACGUUCGAUCUUAUUUUGUUGGUUUCUAGGAUUGACGUAAUGAUUAAUAGGGAUAGUUGGGGGCAUUAGUAUUCAAUUGUCAGAGGUGAAAUUCUUGGAUUUAUUGAAGACUAACUACUGCGAAAGCAUUUGCCAAGGAUGUUUUCAUUAAUCAAGAACGAAAGUUAGGGGAUCGAAGACGAUCAGAUACCGUCGUAGUCUUAACCAUAAACUAUGCCGACUAGGGAUCGGAUGAUGUUAAUUUUUUAAUGACUCAUUCGGCGCCUUACG